CCGACCUUAGCUCAGUUGGAAGAGCGCGAGACUGUAAUGGUUAAAAUCAUCUUGAGGUCGCCUGUUCGAGCCAGGCAGGUCGGA
Molecule: transfer RNA, 84 nt
Filed under: Cylindrobasidium torrendii FP15055 ss-10
Lineage: Eukaryota; Fungi; Basidiomycota; Agaricomycetes; Agaricales; Physalacriaceae
Rfam family: tRNA
About the family: Transfer RNA (tRNA) molecules are approximately 80 nucleotides in length.
Source: Rfam by way of RNAcentral